UUUGCAUUCCCAAACUCCUCCCUGCUGUUCAAAAUCUUCAUUAAAAGCUCUGUCCUGUGGGGGAAUGAAUCAGCACUGGACAGAGCUCAGUGUGAAGAUGGCAUCCCUCACUCAGGUCCUCUGCCUCCUGCUUUUCUGGCUAGCAGGUUCCCAAGGGGAAGUUGUUCUGACUCAGUCUCCAGCCUCUGUGUCUGUGUCUCUGGGAGAGAGAGUCACCAUCAAGUGCAAGGCCAGUCAGAGCCUCUUACACAGUAGUGGGAACACUUACCUACACUGGUUCCAACAGAAACCAGGAAAAUCUAAUAAACGCAUGAUUUACCAAGUUUCCAAUUUAGACUCUGGGGUUCCCUCUCGGUUCAGUGGCAGUGGGUCUGGGACGGAUUUCACCCUCACAAUCAGCAGUCUGGAGCCUGAGGAUGUUGCCAUGUAUUACUGUUAUCAACACUCUCACUCACCGGUCUCACUGUGCUUCAGCCCUGAACAAAAUCCUCCCCAUAUCAUUCAGUCCUGACUCUGGGGAAAAACUGCUUUCCCCUGAGGCCUAGGCUCACAGCAGCUGCUAUCUAACAUAAAGAUGAGGCUUAGCUUAGUCUGUCUUUUAGAAUCCCUAUGUUCAGUCUCUAUUAUGUACCCCAUUCUCAAGAGGGGCCAUCAAAUUAAGUUUCAUGGUCUCCUACAAGGAAUGAAGUUUUUUCAAAAUGUAGAAAUUUGAUAGAAGAUAUAAAAACCAUGUGAGGACAUUACAAGGUAUAUUUAUAUAUAAAUAUAUGUAGAUAAGUAUAACUAUAUCUGUAAUUUUGUGAUAUAUAAUGAUUCAUGCACACACACAUUUUUGCUGCUUGCUUCAGUUUACUACAAUCUGAUUUGCUACUGAAGUUGUAGGUAGUCUAUGAAUAUUGUAAACUUUGCAGCUAGGAUGACCAUGGAAAGUAACUUUCUCUCUCAUCCCAAGUUUCCCUAUUGAUAAAUCUCAGGAGAUAAUAAUAAUUUUCUCAUGGUACUCUUAUGAGGAUCAAAAAAGCUAACAAGUAAAUUCAUUUGCAAAGCUUAAAGUACUUUACAAAUGUUAUUAUUUCCCUUAAGAUAUCUUCGGUGAGCCCCCAAAAUAAGAGCUUAUGUUGUAAUCCUUUUUUUCCACCACAAAAGGAUUUAUUAAUCUUUCAAAUAUUAAAUAUAAAAUAAUGUCCAAUGACGUGCGGGAUAACUGUUUCUGAUUGAAUUCCUUAAAAGAAGAUAAGAAAAAUGAGGCAAUGAAAACUAAGAAUAAUCAUUCUUGUUGUGAUAGGACAUUUUAUUUUCCAAAGCAAUCUUAUCUCAAAAUCAUCUUGCCUAUGGAUGACUCAGUUAUUUCCAUCUUAUUUUACAGAUCAAGAAACUGAGUUUUAUCAAGAUUGAUUUGCCUAA
Non-coding RNA from Monodelphis domestica (gray short-tailed opossum), 1404 nucleotides. The record is from the annotation of a RefSeq genome assembly. NCBI's taxonomy places the organism in Eukaryota, Metazoa, Chordata, Mammalia, Didelphimorphia, Didelphidae.